CAUUUCUUUAUGGAAAUGCAAUCAGAUGGAGACGCUAAGGCAGAAGAACUACUGUGUCUGCAGUGCAAAAUGAUUUAUAUGGUGAUUAUUACUUUAAGGAAAUGAUGAAGCAGUAAUCAUAAGUGUUCUUCGUUGAGCUGCGUCACUCCGCUGUAGUCCGUAAUGGACUGGCCUGAGGUCUCGCUACAAACAAGCGGCUGCUGGAAGAGAGUAGGUGAGUUGUGUUUAGUCUCUUUGCUAAAGAAAUUAGACAAAGUUAAAAAGAUGUUUGGUGGCUAGUGCUGUGGCUGGGACCCUAUAUGUACUGUUGAUGAAGUUAGGUGCUGUUCUGAGCAUUA
Xyrichtys novacula (pearly razorfish) is the source of this 338-nucleotide non-coding RNA. Lineage: Eukaryota; Metazoa; Chordata; Actinopteri; Labriformes; Labridae. The record is from the annotation of a GenBank genome assembly.